Molecule: ribosomal RNA, 492 nt
Filed under: uncultured bacterium
Lineage: Bacteria
Description: partial 16S ribosomal RNA
Rfam family: Bacterial small subunit ribosomal RNA
Source: RNAcentral
AGUGAACGCUGGCGGUAGGCCUAACACAUGCAAGUCGAACGGCAGCACAGUAAGAGCUUGCUCUUACGGGUGGCGAGUGGCGGACGGGUGAGGAAUACAUCGGAAUCUACUUUUUCGUGGGGGAUAACGUAGGGAAACUUACGCUAAUACCGCAUACGACCUACGGGGGAAAGCAGGGGAUCUUCGGACCUUGCGCGAUUGAAUGAGCCGAUUUCGGAUUAGCUAGUUGGCGGGGUAAAGGCCCACCAAGGCGACGAUCCGUAGCUGGUCUGAGAGGAUGAUCAGCCACACUGGAACUGAGCCACGGUCCAGACGCCUACGGGAGGCAGCAGUGGGGAAUAUUGGACAAUGGGCGCAAGCCUGAUCCAGCCAUACCGCGUGGGUGAAGAAGGCCUUCGGGUUGUAAAGCCCUUUUGUUGGGAAAGAAAAGCAGCAGGUUAAUACCCCGCUGUUCUGACGGUACCCAAAGAAUAAGCACCGGCUAACUUCGUG